This 353-nucleotide RNase P RNA is filed under the name bacterium. RNAcentral's name for it is "RNase P RNA component class A". It matches the Rfam family "Bacterial RNase P class A". From Rfam's summary of the family: Ribonuclease P (RNase P) is a ubiquitous endoribonuclease, found in archaea, bacteria and eukarya as well as chloroplasts and mitochondria. The record is from RNAcentral.
UAAGUGGGUUGAGUGAUUGCUUGCAUUUAUUGCAAGAGGAAAGUCCGAACUCCUAAGGGAAUUGAUGCUGGAUAACGCCCAGGUGUCGUGAGACAAUGGAAAGUGCCACAGAAAAUAACCGCCAUUAAUAAACACGUGAUAUUAAUGGUAAGGGUGAAAAGGUGGUGUAAGAGACCACCGUAAUUUUUGGUGACAAAAAUUAGCAAGGUAAACCCCAUCAGGAGAAAGACCAUGUAUAGAAGCUGGUAUCCCUUCCAAAUGCUUCGGGGUAGGUCGCUUGAGGUAGCGAGUAAUUGCUAUCCUAGAUAAAUGAUCACAUAAAACAGAAUUCGGCUUACUAACCCACUUAUUUU